CAUGCCGUAAACGAUGAUUACUAGGUGUUGGGGGAUUGACCCCCUCAGUGCCGCAGUUAACACAAUAAGUAAUCCACCUGGGGAGUACGACCGCAAGGUUGAAACUCAAAGGAAUUGACG
Molecule: ribosomal RNA, 120 nt
Filed under: uncultured bacterium
Lineage: Bacteria
Description: partial 16S ribosomal RNA
Rfam family: Bacterial small subunit ribosomal RNA
Source: RNAcentral